GCCCCUUUGGCCAAGUUGGAUUAAGGCAUGUGGCUUAUGUUUCUCAGGCAUCAAAAAAUCGCACCUCGAGAUCAUGAGGUUUUAUUUCGAAAACCGCGAGAUCGUGGGUUCGAGUCCCACAAGGGGCA
Molecule: non-coding RNA, 128 nt
Organism: Testicularia cyperi
Lineage: Eukaryota; Fungi; Basidiomycota; Ustilaginomycetes; Ustilaginales; Anthracoideaceae
Source: the annotation of a GenBank genome assembly